AACGAACGCUGGCGGCAUGCCUAACACAUGCAAGUCGAACGAGACCUUCGGGUCUAGUGGCGCACGGGUGCGUAACGCGUGGGAACCUGCCCUUAGGUUCGGAAUAACUCCCCGAAAGGGGUGCUAAUACCGGAUCAUGUCUUCGGACCAAAGAUUUAUCGCCUUUGGAUGGGCCCGCGUUGGAUUAGCUAGUUGGUAGGGUAAAAGCCUACCAAGGCGACGAUCCAUAGCUGGUCUGAGAGGAUGAUCAGCCACACUGGGACUGAGACACGGCCCAGACUCCUACGGGAGGCAGCAGUGGGGGAUAUUGGACAAUGGGCGGAAGCCUGAUCCAGCAAGGCCGCGUGAGUGAUGAAGGCCUUAGAGUUGUAAAGCUCUUUUACCCGGGAUGAUAAUGACAGUACCGGGAGAAUAAGCUCCGGCUAACUCCGUG
Molecule: ribosomal RNA, 433 nt
Filed under: uncultured bacterium
Lineage: Bacteria
Description: partial 16S ribosomal RNA
Rfam family: Bacterial small subunit ribosomal RNA
Source: RNAcentral